CAUGGUAAUGCUCUGCCAAACGAGCUCUAUAGUUUUGACCGGUCGACCUUGGUGGCGGAAAUACAUACAGACACGCGGAUCCAGUGCGCCAACCAGUGCCGUCUCCGCGCCUGCACUGCAUUCCUCUGGAAAUAUUCGACUGUAAGCGACGACCGGUGUUUUUCGGCGGAUUACUGGCAGUACUCCGGUACAUGGGCGCGGACUAAGGGCGGAAUAGCCUGUCAGCGCUGGGACAGCCAGUUUCCCCACGGUCACUCCUGGAACCCUUACUACAUCCCGGAUAGCUCGCUGACGGCAGCCCAAAAUUACUGCAGGGACGUUACUAAGUCAGGCUACCCCUGGUGCUACACUGUCAGAGGCGAUGUGAGGUGGGAAACGUGCAACCUCUAUAAAUGCUUCUUCAAUGACAAUAAUUGCCGACUGUACGGAGUCGCAGGGGGACAUCAGGAGAACGUGGACGGUCUUACCUAUAUGGUGAUGGCCUGAACCAUCGGGACGCUAUGAACUUCGAGAUGCUACAAGUGUAACGAUCCUUGGGAUAAUAAAACUUGCGGAUUUCUA
Long non-coding RNA from Mya arenaria, 561 nucleotides. RefSeq lists it as uncharacterized. The record is from RefSeq and is a predicted model, not a curated record. The transcript is spliced from 3 exons. Lineage: Eukaryota; Metazoa; Mollusca; Bivalvia; Myida; Myidae.